GCGCGAAGCGCGAUAAGGGAACCCUGAGUGCCAGCACACAGUGUUGGCUGUCCAACUGUUCAAAAAACAGAUGAUAGCAAGGGCCGGGCAAGACCGGUGCCAGCCGCCGCGGUAACACCGGCGGCCCGAGUGGUAACCGUUUUUAUUGGGCUUAAAGCGUUCGUAGCCGGUUUAAUAAGUCUUUUAGGAAAUCUGGCAGCUUAACUGUCAGGCGUCUAAGAGAUACUGUUAAACUUGGGACCGGGAGAGGUAGGAGGUACUCCAUGGGUAGGGGUGAAAUCUUGUAAUCCUUGGAGGACCAUCGAUGGCGAAGGCAUCCUACCAGAACGGGUCCGACGGUGAGGGACGAAAGCUGGGGGCACAAACCGGAUUAGAUACCCGGGUAGUCCCAGCUGUAAACGAUGCUCGCUAGGUGUCGGGUACGGUGCGUCCGUAUUCNGUGCCNUANGGAAACCNCNAANCNAGCCNCCUGGGAAGUACNGUCGCAAGGCUNAAACUUAAAGGAAUUGGCGGGGGAGCACUNCAACNGGUGGAGCCUGCGGUUUAAUUGGAUUUCCAACGCCCGAAA
This 568-nucleotide ribosomal RNA is filed under the name uncultured Methanosarcinales archaeon. Its description in RNAcentral is "partial 16S ribosomal RNA". It matches the Rfam family "Archaeal small subunit ribosomal RNA", at positions 357 to 924 of the family's 1478-position model. Lineage: Archaea; Methanobacteriati; Methanobacteriota; Methanomicrobia; Methanosarcinales. The record is from RNAcentral.